AUGCUAUCAUAACCGGCCCACUUGUAGGUUUAUGGCAUCAUAUUUAGAAUGGUACGUAAUAUUCUAAAUACCCCUCAACCUCAAGAAUACAAACCCUACUUCCUACUUGUUGUGCGACGGCAGACGACCUCUCCCAUCAUCGAAGACAUUUUCUGGUUCGGGCCAACUAUGGGAUUGGACGGUUGAUCGAAUUGGAUUAUAUAACAUAACCUACCGAGCACCCUAAGGUCGUUAGAUGUCUUGGAUUGGAACUUGCUGUCUGGAGUAGCUGAAGUGGUCAUGGGUCGAACUGGAGGGAUACAUGUGUUGGAAUUGUUGAUAUGACAUGUGAUUUUGAAACAGUUAAACUAUGAUUUCCUUUAUUGCUUCCGCUGAACAUGUUGGUUUUCAUUUAAACUUAUUGAUGGUACUUUUCAUUAAUAAUUGGCAAUUUCAUUUUUAAACUUGUUAUGAGUUCAAC
RNAcentral lists this long non-coding RNA (460 nucleotides) under Helianthus annuus (common sunflower). The record is from RNAcentral. Lineage: Eukaryota; Viridiplantae; Streptophyta; Magnoliopsida; Asterales; Asteraceae.